AAAAUCCAUAGUAUACCUAUACUACAAAACACCAAUCAGAAAAAGACCAGUCUACAGGUAUUUGUGACCGUUUGUGUGUACCGAGUGACUUUUUUCAACACAGGCUUUGUUGAGGUCUGUGUACCAUGGCAUAAGCUAUGCCUUGAUCAUAGAGGGGGAUGAGUCCUCCUCUGCUUUGGGACAGGAAGAACUGGGUCUUACUACAAGAAUUCCAACUACAAUGAAAAGCAAAUUAACCGAUACUUGAUUCUCUUUCUAGACAGAAGAAAGGUUUAAAAUAAGGGUCCAUUUCACUGAGUAACUUAUGGAUAGAUGACUUUGUGGACAUAUUCAGGACAGAGAGCAGUUCUGCUUGCAAGUCCAUUCACCUGUUUUGUCCCAAGGAACAUCUUGUUGUCACUUUUCGUUUCAUGGACUAGAAAGAGCAGUGGUACUGUUUUCUCUAAAGAGCCAUGAAUGAUGCCAAGAAGGGAAACAGGAAACCUCUUCCAUUGAAGAUAUUCAUUGAGGACAUCAUAAGCUGUGCUAAUAUAUGUGAAUAUAAAACCAAAAAUGACAUUCUGUGUUCAUGACUAGGAGAGAGACAAUUUGUAAAAUAAUGAAAUAUGGAGAUAUAAGAAUCUGACCACCAUGGACUAAAGCUCGACCUCAACAACAACAGAAACAACAAAAAGCCAACACACACAUGGAAACUAAACAACUUACUACUCAAUGACAGCUGGGUUAAGGAAGAAAUAAAGAAAGAAAUUAAAGACUUCCUAGAAUUCAAUGAAAAGGAAGGCACAACAUACCCAAAUUUAUGGGACACACUGAAAGCAG
This is a long non-coding RNA of Meriones unguiculatus (Mongolian gerbil), 819 nucleotides long. RefSeq lists it as uncharacterized. The transcript is spliced from 3 exons. Lineage: Eukaryota; Metazoa; Chordata; Mammalia; Rodentia; Muridae. The record is from RefSeq and is a predicted model, not a curated record.